RNAcentral lists this unclassified non-coding RNA (318 nucleotides) under uncultured fungus. RNAcentral's name for it is "partial contains small subunit ribosomal RNA, internal transcribed spacer 1, and 5.8S ribosomal RNA". The stretch from base 1 to 73 matches the Rfam family "Eukaryotic small subunit ribosomal RNA", at positions 1759 to 1831 of the family's 1831-position model. The record is from RNAcentral. Lineage: Eukaryota; Fungi.
UCAAACUUGGUCAUUUAGAGGAAGUAAAAGUCGUAACAAGGUUUCCGUAGGUGAACCUGCGGAAGGAUCAUUAACGAGUUUUUGAAAGGGGUUGUCGCUGGCCGAAACCUAAGGCAUGUGCACACCCUGCUCAAUCCACUCUCAAACCCCUGUGCACUUACUGUAGGCUAUGGUGGGAUAGCUGGCUUCGGUCAGUUUGAAAGCCUUGCCUAUGUUAUUACAAACGCUUCAGUUAAAGAAUGUCAUACCGCGUUUAACGCAUUAUAUACAACUUUUAGCAACGGAUCUCUUGGCUCUCGCAUCGAUGAAGAACGCAGC